GUUCAGUGCUAUCCAAGUGACUCCCCCGGGAGAGGACAACUGGAAAUUUAUGCCUGGUGUCUUCCUGGACUCCGACCUAUGCACCUUUUUCCUUGGAUGAUUUUAACCUGUCUCCUUUUGCUGCAAUGAACCAUAACCAUGAGUAUAUCAGCUUUUCUAAUUUUUGUGAGUCCCUCAAGUGAAUUAUCAAACCUAAGGUAGUUUUGGGACCCCCAUCACAGAGAGUCAAACAGGGGCAGGGCAAGAAGAGCUGCUUUUCCUGGAAGGCUAAUGAGUCUGAACUUCGCCCUGGAGGUAAUCGUUAUAGUAACUCCAGGCUCUAACCUGGAGCUGACAUGAUAAGGUCAAAUGUACACCUCUAGAAGACUUCCGACUGCAGAGGGGAAUGGAUGGGGGAGCUGAGGGAGGAGAGCUGAAGCAGGAAGACCAUGGCCUGGAAAGAGAUGGCUGAACCAGUCCAGGUGGCGAGGAGUCCAUGUCAGCUGCCGUCAUCCACACCACAGAUCAGACAUGGCAAAGAGUGGCCAGGCCUUCUGAGUGAAGGUGAUCCAACCUGUCACCAAGCCUAAGGGCAAAUCCUGGCUGUGCUGUGAUGGCUCCAACAACCCCAAACAGCAGCGCAGAGGCUGCAGCCGCCCUCGGAGGCAACACUGGGAAACGCUCAUUAGCAGCCUUCCAUUGCUCACCCGCCCCAUCCCACCUCUGUGCAUCCCAGAUCAUCAGCGAAGUGCACAGCUGGCUUCCAUCCUCGGAGCCUUCCUCCUUCAUUUGCCUAUUCAACAGUUACAAAGGCCUGAGUUGCAAAGGGGCUUACAACCCAUUCCACCCAGAAGAAAGAGAACUGAGACUGAGCAAGACAGAGAAUAGGUGGAAGGGGAGAUGAAACCAAGCAAUCUCUAGAUCCCAAAUGGGGACCCUGAUGUAGCAAGAGCCUCUUUUAAAUCCUUUUCCAAUAGGGUAAUAUGGAAAAUAGUUGAAAGCACAAGCCAAGUGGGGCUGGAAUCCCAAAUGGGCCAUUUACUAGCUGUGUGACUGGACAAGUAAUUUCAUAUUUCUGGGCCUCGAUUUUUCUCAUCUGUAAAAUAGAAAAAAAAAAACCUAUGUCAUAACGUUGAUAAACAGAUUAGAUGAGCUAAGAUCUAAAAUGUCUUCUAUUCAGUAGGUGCUCAAUAAAUGUUAUCUAUUUUUA
This 1189-nucleotide long non-coding RNA is filed under the name Homo sapiens (human). Its description in RNAcentral is "non-protein coding SRGAP3-AS2:8". The record is from RNAcentral. Lineage: Eukaryota; Metazoa; Chordata; Mammalia; Primates; Hominidae.